GACGAACGCUGGCGGCGUGCUUAACACAUGCAAGUUGAACGGGUCAUAUAUGAAGGGUAACCGGAGUGUAUGGCUAGUGGCGAACGGGUGAGUAAUGCAUGAGAACGUAUCCUCAAGAGGGGGACAACAUUGGGAAACCGAUGCUAAUACCCCAUAAGCCGGGAGGUAAAAGGAGCAAUCCGCUUGAGGAGCGGCUCAUGUCCUAUCAGCUGGUUGGUGAGGUAACGGCUCACCAAGGCGAAGACGGGUAGCCGGCCUGAGAGGGUGAACGGCCACACUGGAACUGAGAGACGGUCCAGACUCCUACGGGAGGCAGCAGUGGGGAAUAUUGGGCAAUGGGGGAAACCCUGACCCAGCGACGCCGCGUGAGGGAAGAAGGCCUUAGGGUCGUAAACCUCUGUUGUGUGGGAAGAAGAGCGUGACGGUACCACACGAGGAAGUCCCGGCUAACUACGUG
This 457-nucleotide ribosomal RNA is filed under the name uncultured bacterium. RNAcentral's name for it is "bacterial SSU rRNA". It matches the Rfam family "Bacterial small subunit ribosomal RNA", at positions 28 to 507 of the family's 1533-position model. The record is from RNAcentral.